CCUACGGGAGGCAGCAGUGGGGAAUAUUGGACAAUGGGCGCAAGCCUGAUCCAGCCAUGCCGCGUGAGUGAUGAAGGCCUUAGGGUUGUAAAGCUCUUUUACCAGGGAAGAUAAUGACGGUACCUGGAGAAUAAGCCCCGGCUAACUUCGUGCCAGCAGCCGCGGUAAU
RNAcentral lists this ribosomal RNA (169 nucleotides) under uncultured bacterium. RNAcentral's name for it is "partial 16S ribosomal RNA". It matches the Rfam family "Bacterial small subunit ribosomal RNA", at positions 338 to 524 of the family's 1533-position model. The record is from RNAcentral.